CCGGGCGUGACAGAAGCAGGUGUUCCCGCUGCAGCUCAGCCAGGGGAAGGGGCGGUGGUUCUUGCUAUGGCCUCGGGAUAAGUGCAGCUGGAUCAACUGAUGAAUACCCCAAGCUUUGAAGAUGGUCCUCAGCCCACUGUUCUUGAGGGAUCUUUUGUGAUGCCAGGAGAAUGUCCUGCUGAGAUGGUUGCCCAGUUGAUUCUGGGAGUCAGGUAAGUGAGCAGCAAUGGGACCAAUGUCUUCCCUGAUACAAAAGUGCCAGAAUUUCAUCGCUUCUUGACAAAGCUGUUCAGAUCAUGCCCCUCCCUGUCUGUGCAGACAGUACAUUGCAGUUGUAUUGUCGAUGAGUAUCUGUACUGGUGAGCCCUUGAUGUGAGGGAGAAAAGCACAGCAAGCACUAUGAAUGCUUGAAGCCCGAAGAUAUUGAAAUGAAGAGCUGCUACUUGCACUAUCCACAAAGCUUGGGUUCUACACCCACCUCUGAAAGCACCUCACCCUAUCAGAGAGGCAUUAAUAAUGAUUGUCUUGAUCAGGUGGCAGCAAGCAAAUACCACACCUCUGCAUAUGUUUUUCUUAUCCAUCCACCAUUAUUAGGAACCCAGGAGGAACCUGGAUCAACUUGUACAACCGGUGUCUGUUCAGUCAAUGGACUAACUUCGGCCACCCCUGAGGGAUGCACACGCAUAGCCUGGCAUGCAGGGUCACUUAAGUAUAUGAGGCCAUGUGGCCUAGUAACGCUAGACAUUCUUGGACUGUGGUGGUGGGGUAUAACUUGAGAGGGUAUAACUUGAGAGAAGCACAUAACUGGCAAAUAGUCUGAAAACUGUCCUGUGGGAGAAAAGCCAUCAAAUAUGUAGAAUAGAGUAGGGCCUAAAUAAUUUGAUUUUUUGUGUGGGAAUUACUGUGGACUCUCUCUUGUUCAGCAUGAGUCUUAGAUGACGGAAAAGACAGAUAAGCUGGACAUGGCAGAGAACCUGGGGCUUGAAUCUACCUUGCACUAACACAUCAUCUAGGUGAAAGAUCUUCUGCCAUGAGACUUUCUUCUUCCAAAACUGGAGACUUGCAGGGUUUUGCUUGAGCCACUGGAUGGAGCAAUAGAGCUAUUUCUGCACUUUCAAGAGUUCAUCUCUCUAGUACAUGAAUUUCAUAAGGCCUUUACAGCUUCAUGAUGCAGAGGGGAGAAGUCUGUAGCAUCUUACUACAAAAAAGGAAAAAUUCUCACUGUGCAUAACAAGACUGCUUAACCUGCACUCUCCCCUCAAGAGCCACAAUGCUAAAGGAUCACCACCAAACAGCUGCAGUUCUACAAAGAGCAGGAAAAAGGCAUGAUCAGACAUGUCAAGAAGACACUCUUAUAACAUGACACCCCUCAAAAAGCUGUAGAUCUCACAACUAAAAAACGAUGGCAAGUUACUACUGUUCUCUGCAUAUUAGAGGUACAAUUGCACAUAUAGAGAUCUGAACCGUAAGUAUGCGAUCCAGGCAUACUUUCCACUCUGGCAACAGGCCAUCCUGGCAUUGCUGAAUGAGACUUUUAGCCAAACCUACUGACUACUUUGCAUCAAGGGGCUAUGUCCAGAAGAGAUGGUGAUCUACUUACACCAUGUCCUCUGUUCUGCUCACACAUCUUUCCUUAGACCAUCAUAUUCUCCUUUUUUCGUUACUUGGCUAAUAAGUCUUUUCAUAGAUAAAGAGAAUGUAUUUUGCUUCAAAAAAUCCCCAAAUACUCCUUCCAUA
Molecule: long non-coding RNA, 1737 nt
Organism: Gopherus evgoodei (Goodes thornscrub tortoise)
Lineage: Eukaryota; Metazoa; Chordata; Testudines; Testudinidae
Exons: 4
Source: RefSeq, a predicted model, not a curated record